This 468-nucleotide ribosomal RNA is filed under the name uncultured bacterium. RNAcentral's name for it is "partial 16S ribosomal RNA". It matches the Rfam family "Bacterial small subunit ribosomal RNA", at positions 29 to 523 of the family's 1533-position model. The record is from RNAcentral.
AACGAACGCUGGCGGCAUGCUUAACACAUGCAAGUCGAACGGGAUCCUGGCUUCGGUCAGGUGAGAGUGGCGGACGGGUGAGUAACGCGUGGGAACCUGCCCAUUGGUUCGGAACAACCGCGGGAAACUGCGGCUAAUACCGGAUACGCCCCUGGGCAACCAGGGGGAAAGAUUUAUCGCGCAUUGGAGGGGCCCGCGUCCGAUUAGGUAGUUGGCGGGGUAACGGCCCACCAAGCCAUCGAUCGGUAGCUGGUCUGAGAGGAUGAUCAGCCACACUGGGACUGAGAAACGGCCCAGACUCCUACGGGAGGCAGCAGUGGGGAAUAUUGGACAAUGGGGGCAACCCUGAUCCAGCAAUGCCGCGUGAGUGAUGAAGGCCUUCGGGUUGUAAAGCUCUUUUGUCCGGGAAGAUAAUGACUGUACCGGAAGAAUAAGCCCCGGCAAACUUCGUGCCAGCCGCCGCAGUAA